AAAGGGCUGGGGGGUACGACGGCUUUGAUCUCUGAGGCCAAUGAUUCCUUCGCGGGAGCUGUUCCUGAAAAAGUUUGAGGAUUUUUUCACACGGUGCCCACCUGCUGAGUGCAGGCCCCAGGAGGAUCGCAAAGUCCGCAACGGCCCUUCGGCACGAUA
This 159-nucleotide non-coding RNA is filed under the name bacterium NHP-B. RNAcentral's name for it is "6S / SsrS RNA". It matches the Rfam family "6S / SsrS RNA". Rfam says of the family: E. coli 6S RNA was the first non coding RNA to be sequenced, but its function was unknown until recently. It consists of 184 nucleotides that fold into an extended hairpin structure with a large single-stranded internal bulge. The 6S RNA specifically associates with RNA polymerase holoenzyme containing the sigma70 specificity factor. The record is from Rfam by way of RNAcentral.